Molecule: ribosomal RNA, 335 nt
Filed under: uncultured Nitrospira sp.
Lineage: Bacteria; Pseudomonadati; Nitrospirota; Nitrospiria; Nitrospirales; Nitrospiraceae
Description: bacterial SSU rRNA
Rfam family: Bacterial small subunit ribosomal RNA
Source: RNAcentral
ACUCCUACGGGAGGCAGCAGUAAGGAAUAUUGCGCAAUGGGCUACAGCCUGACGCAGCGACGCCGCGUGGGGGAUGAUGGUCUUCGGAUUGUAAACCCCUUUCGGCAGGGAAGAUGGAACGGGAAACCGUCCGGACGGUACCUGCAGAAGCAGCCACGGCUAACUUCGUGCCAGCAGCCGCGGUAAUACGAAGGUGGCAAGCGUUGUUCGGAUUUACUGGGCGUACAGGGAGCGUAGGCGGUUGGGUAAGCCCUUCGUGAAAUCUCCGGGCCUAACCCGGAAAGUGCGGAGGGGACUNCUCGGCUAGAGGAUGGGAGAGGAGCGCGGAAUUCCCG